AAGAACGCAGCGAAAUGCGAUACGUAGUGUGAAUUGCAGAAUUCCGCGAAUCAUCGAGUCUUUGAACGCAAGUUGCGCCCGAGGCUCGUCCGAGGGCAUUUCCGCUAGAGCGUCACC
This 117-nucleotide ribosomal RNA is filed under the name Pseudobryum cinclidioides. Its description in RNAcentral is "partial 5.8S ribosomal RNA". It matches the Rfam family "5.8S ribosomal RNA", at positions 39 to 154 of the family's 154-position model. From Rfam's summary of the family: 5.8S ribosomal RNA (5.8S rRNA) is a component of the large subunit of the eukaryotic ribosome. It is transcribed by RNA polymerase I as part of the 45S precursor that also contains 18S and 28S rRNA. Lineage: Eukaryota; Viridiplantae; Streptophyta; Bryopsida; Bryales; Mniaceae. The record is from RNAcentral.